This 553-nucleotide long non-coding RNA is filed under the name Monodelphis domestica (gray short-tailed opossum). RNAcentral describes it as "lncRNA (ENSMODG00000037794.1)". Lineage: Eukaryota; Metazoa; Chordata; Mammalia; Didelphimorphia; Didelphidae. The record is from RNAcentral.
UCAGUCCUGCUGAUUCUAAGUCCAGCACUCAUCUUCUAUCUUCUAAUCUUUUUUAGUAAAUCAUUUCAGAUGAGUGUGCACAAAGACACUUGUGCGUGAAGGAGAUUUAAGUGGAAGAGUCGAUGCACAGAGACAGUCCCACUCUCCGCAUUGGAAGCCUGGGUCCAGUGGCACGAAAGGUCGUUACACCUGGAGACUUCCUCAGCUGCAUUGGAUGGCGGUGUUGUCUUUUGUGCUCCAACAUGCCCUGAGCACUCCACAGUGCCUUGCUGCAUCGCCCUCUCAGCCGUUGAACCUUCUUGUUGGUUUCUUCCACCUGUUCCGCCGAAGCAGUCUUCACAAGCUGGCACUUGACUUUUGAAGAGGAAAAUAUAUUUGAAUCUUAGAAGUAUCCCUCCAUCAUUUUGGACAUUUCAACAUGGACAAAAAAAUGAGACUUCUUCACCCUUGAGAUAAUUAUGAUUACUACUUUCCUCUUCUCCAGCAAUUCAACAAAUAUGAAUUAAAUCUCUUCUAUAUGCAAAGAACUAUGGCGCUUGAUAAUAAGUAUGUG